UACGAAGGGGGCUAGCGUUGUUCGGAUUUACUGGGCGUAAAGCGCGCGCAGGCGGCAGUCUAAGUCCUCUGUGAAAUCACCCGGCUCAACUGGGUGGCUGCGGAGGAGACUGGGCAGCUUGAGGGGCCUAGAGGCCGGUGGAACUCCCGGUGUAGUGGUGAAAUGCGUAGAGAUCGGGAAGAACACCAGUGGCGAAGGCGGCCGGCUGGGGGCGCCCUGACGCUGAGGCGCGAGAGCGUGGGGAGCAAACCGG
This 253-nucleotide ribosomal RNA is filed under the name uncultured bacterium. RNAcentral's name for it is "partial 16S ribosomal RNA". It matches the Rfam family "Bacterial small subunit ribosomal RNA", at positions 524 to 776 of the family's 1533-position model. The record is from RNAcentral.